AAUGCGUUAAGUAAUGUGAAUUGCAGAAUUCAGUGAAUCAUCGAAUCUUUGAACGCACCUUGCGCUCCUUGGUAUUCCUUGGAGCAUGCCUGUUUGAGUAUCAUGAAAUCUUCAAAGUAAAUCUUUUGUUAACUCAAUUGGUUUCUACUUUGGUAUUGGAGGUCUUUGCAGCUUCACACCUGCUCCUCUUUGUUCAUUAGCUGGAUCUCAGUGUUAUGCUUGGUUCCACUCGGCGUGAUAAGUUAUCUAUCGCUGAGGACACUGUAAAAGGUGGCCAAGGUAAAUGCAGAUGAACCGCUUCUAAUAGUCCAUUGACUUGGACAAUACUUUUAUGAUCUGAUCUCAAAUCAGGUAGGACUACCCGCUGAACUUAAGC
This 376-nucleotide unclassified non-coding RNA is filed under the name plant metagenome. RNAcentral's name for it is "partial contains 5.8S ribosomal RNA, internal transcribed spacer 2, and large subunit ribosomal RNA". The stretch from base 1 to 103 matches the Rfam family "5.8S ribosomal RNA", at positions 52 to 154 of the family's 154-position model. The record is from RNAcentral.